CUGCACUUACCCUCUGUUGAAUACUUUCUGCCUUGGUCUUUUUGCCAUCAUACUGACUUCUUAUUUAUUCUGGCUUGGUAGAAGAAUCCUGCAUUUGGUUAUCAAUAGGAGUCUGCAAAAGAGAGUAUACAUGCUAGUGGUAUCAGUUUCUGCUUUCUUUCCUAUAAGGGUUCUAUUGCUUGGUUUAACUGUUAAAACUCAGCCAGAAUAUUUACCUUUUCAAGCUCUUACAUUUGUGGGUUUUGUUUCCUUCUUUUGUUGUAUUGGGUUGAGCAUCUUCAUGCUCGUUUUCAUGCCCGUGUGGGAUUCUUUAGCAUUGAAGAAGAGCUCAGAGAGGGAUAUAGAGGCUAGGAGAAGGUUAAGUGAUGAACAAAAUGAUACUGUUUCUCUAAUUGCUAACCUUGGAGGAAGUAUGGUCAGCAGUCCUGGGAGAAACUCAGCUACCUCAACGAAGCGAGGAUCCAUCUCCUUUCGAACAACAGACAAGGAUGAAACUACUUCAGGGGCCUUUGUGGAAUUAAGUGUAUUCUCUCCUAGUCAGCAUUCAUCCCCUCCUGGCUCACCUCAACUUCUUGGCUGGCCUAUGCUACCAUUCUCUAAUUGCUAACAUUGGAGGAAGUAUGGUCAGCAGUCCUGGGAGAAAUUCAGCUACCUCAACGAAGCGAGGAUCCAUCUCCUUUCGAACAACGGACAAGGAUGAAACUACUUCAGGGGCCUUUGUGGAAUUAAGUGUAUUCUCUCCUAGUCAGCAUUCAUCCCCUCCUGGCUCACCUCAACUUCUUGGCUGGCCUAUGCUACCACCCUCACAAGCUCAAGGUCCCUUAUAGUUUUCUUGGGGCUGUAUCUUUCUUGUAUUCUCCUAUUACUGUCAUGGUGGUGGAUUAUAACUGAAAGGUCACUUUUUUGGGUUUUAUAUUGUUUGUGUUCAUUAUAUGAGUGAUUUCGAUGUUUGGUACAUUUUUUACUAGUAAUAAUUAGGACUUGCGAACAUGGAGAGGUGAAAUCUAACAAAAUUUGCUGUAUAAAAGGUUAUCUUUCAUUCUUUUGUAUUCCAUAUAGCUGAAUAUUGAGUCACCGAACAGUAGUUUGUAUUGCAAAUACACCUAUGGGAAAUGAAUGAAUACUAUAUGAAGUUAUGAACCAAAUUUGCCCCAAAAGAAAUUAAGUCGUGAUGCCUAUUGGUUAACAGCUUAAGGAUGCUAAGACCAUUAUAAGUCGACCUUUUUGUGGGUUUCCCCCCUUUUCUUCGUGUAGCUUCCCACCCUCUUCUUCGUGUGGUUUUCAUUUGCCCUUUUGCAUCCAACUCGAAGGUUUUAACUUAAAAUGAACUUACAUUUUCCCAGCCUCUGACAUUUAUUAUUAGGUCUUUAGCUUAGCCCCUACAAUCAUCAAAUUUCGUCUUCUGAUAAGUCGUGACAUC
RNAcentral lists this long non-coding RNA (1420 nucleotides) under Nicotiana benthamiana. RNAcentral's name for it is "long non-coding RNA (NBEN_LNC004992)". The record is from RNAcentral. Lineage: Eukaryota; Viridiplantae; Streptophyta; Magnoliopsida; Solanales; Solanaceae.